This 1431-nucleotide long non-coding RNA is filed under the name Gallus gallus (chicken). Its description in RNAcentral is "lncRNA (ENSGALG00010029994.1)". Lineage: Eukaryota; Metazoa; Chordata; Aves; Galliformes; Phasianidae. The record is from RNAcentral.
AGCACGUCUGAAUCUCUAACUCAGCUGGUUUUAAGGAGGGAAAAUGAAAAAAGAGAAGUUCAGCUUGUUUCAUACAGCUGCUGCUGUUUGCCCGAGGGCUCUGCAGAGUUGUUCUGCCACGCUUCUCUCAUCCCUCUGCUGGUUCUUCAGGUGGUCUCGAAGCCUCUCCCCUGGUUUCUUCAUUUGGUACCAUGGCUCACUUCCAUUGGGAUCAUGUAGUAAGGAAGUGGGAUGUGAAGAACCCCAUUAGUUGGAUGUUUGCACCUCAGCCAUAGCAGCCUAAGCCUACAAGCAUUGAAGUGAUGGAGGGGGAGCAGAAACACAGUGUGCCAUCUCAGUACUGAAGCAUUCCUCCAGAGAGAGAAAGAGAGAGAGAGAGAAGUGACCCAGGAGUUUUUGUGGUCUCAUCCCUGAGCCACAGAGAGAUUUGAAACUGGACCUUGUGUCUGCCUGAACUUUGCAAUGCAGGGAGCAAAAGCCCAACUGCACUCUGUCUUGUGCUCUAGAAGGAUAUCUUCCUAAGUUAUGAGGUAUUGCUCACUUUGGGCACUGCGUCUUCAGCUGUUCAUAUAAGUGCUGCUGUUCAAGUCUGGGAUACCAAAACUGCAUUAGCUACAGGAGGGAGACAGGGUUAUUGCAGCUCAUUGGAACUUAAGGGUGCACUGGCAACUGCUGCAGGAAACUUGACCUUGCCAGGUACGUGAUGUAACCCUGUGUAAUAGCUGGUGAUCUCAGUGCUUUUGAUAACCUGCCUAUUCUUCUUGCUUCCUUGUGUCCCUCUUGGGAGUUGAGAUAAUGUGGAUGACGUUGGGGGGAGGAAGUCCUGCAGCAAUCCAGUUUGCCUUCAGUACAAAUUGCCUUCAGUACAAAUUGAAGCAUAUGAAACCUUCCAUUCAGAGUUAUUUUUUUGUGGACAAAUUGGUGUUCAUUUAUGUUAACAAAAUGCAAAUCUCCCCCUCUUGCUACCUACCUUUAACUUCCUGUUGUUUGAACUGUUCUCACUUAUCACCCCCUCUUUGCAUAUGUAGCAAUUUAGUGCAUCUGUGUCAGGACAUAUAGCACCACUUCAUUUUGUGUGAUACUGAGAAUAUGUAACUGGGACAAAUCAAAUGAUAAAGGACCUUGGGCUUGAGCAGAAAGCCAGUUUUGCUGCAGAUCUGCCUGCUGCCAAAGCAAGGAAGAGUUUUUUUGUGAUGCUUACAGCCUGUAGUACCCAGUGAUGCUAUAAAUGUCAACUGUUCUCUGUAGAUUUCUUUGAGAGAAGUUUAGGCAAAACAACUCUUGUUUAGAGGGCUGACAAGCAGCAGCAUGAGAGCUGUGGGUUUCUCUGGAUGGGCAGCAAAGGCAUAUCCAGCCUUCUGCACAGCCUCCUGUACAUUAGAGCCAUGAACCAAUGUCAACAGAACUGAGGAAAUAAAGGGAGCUUGUUUC